AGCGAACGCUGGCGGUAGGCCUAACACAUGCAAGUCGAACGGAUCCUUCGGGAUUAGUGGCGGACGGGUGAGUAACACGUGGGAACGUGCCCUUUGGUUCGGAACAACUCAGGGAAACUUGAGCUAAUACCGGAUGUGCCCUUCGGGGGAAAGAUUUAUCGCCAUUGGAGCGGCCCGCGUCUGAUUAGCUAGUUGGUGAGGUAACGGCCCACCAAGGCGACGAUCAGUAGCUGGUCUGAGAGGAUGAUCAGCCACACUGGGACUGAGACACGGCCCAGACUCCUACGGGAGGCAGCAGUGGGGAAUCUUGCGCAAUGGGCGAAAGCCUGACGCAGCCAUGCCGCGUGAAUGAUGAAGGUCUUAGGAUUGUAAAAUUCUUUCAGCGGGGACGAUAAUGACGGUACCCGCAGAAGAAGCGCCGGCUAACUUCGUG
This 433-nucleotide ribosomal RNA is filed under the name uncultured bacterium. Its description in RNAcentral is "partial 16S ribosomal RNA". It matches the Rfam family "Bacterial small subunit ribosomal RNA", at positions 29 to 507 of the family's 1533-position model. The record is from RNAcentral.